This 123-nucleotide unclassified non-coding RNA is filed under the name uncultured fungus. RNAcentral's name for it is "sequence contains ITS1". The record is from RNAcentral. Lineage: Eukaryota; Fungi.
AUCUUUUUAAUUACUUAUUUAUUUCAAGUAAAAAAUAUCAAAAAAGUGUGGGUUUUAAAUACAUGCGCGAAAAAAAUCGCGCAGAGAUUGAUAAUGAUCCUUUCGCAGGUUCACUUACGGAAA